UUAGCUCAGUGGUUAGAGCAGGCGACUCAUAAUCGCUUGGUCGCUGGUUCAAGUCCA
This 57-nucleotide transfer RNA is filed under the name Salmonella enterica. RNAcentral describes it as "tRNA-Met". It matches the Rfam family "tRNA", at positions 8 to 61 of the family's 71-position model. Rfam says of the family: Transfer RNA (tRNA) molecules are approximately 80 nucleotides in length. RNAcentral also lists the same sequence under 1 other name. The record is from RNAcentral. Lineage: Bacteria; Pseudomonadati; Pseudomonadota; Gammaproteobacteria; Enterobacterales; Enterobacteriaceae.